This 460-nucleotide ribosomal RNA is filed under the name uncultured bacterium. Its description in RNAcentral is "partial 16S ribosomal RNA". It matches the Rfam family "Bacterial small subunit ribosomal RNA", at positions 338 to 795 of the family's 1533-position model. The record is from RNAcentral.
CCUACGGGGGGCAGCAGUGAGGAAUAUUGGUCAAUGGACGAGAGUCUGAACCAGCCAAGUAGCGUGAAGGAUGACUGCCCUAUGGGUUGUAAACUUCUUUUAUAUGGGAAUAAAAUGUUCCACGUGUGGGAUUUUGUAUGUACCAUAUGAAUAAGGAUCGGCUAACUCCGUGCCAGCAGCCGCGGUAAUACGGAGGAUCCGAGCGUUUUCCGGAUUUUUUGGGUUUAAAGGGAGCAGAGGUGGGUUGUUAAGGCCGUUGUGAAAGUUUGGGGCUCAACCGUAAAAUUGCAGUUGAAACUGGCAGUCUUGAGUACAGUAGAGGUGGGCGGAAUGCGUGGUGUAGCGGUGAAAUGCUUAGAUAUCACGAAGAACUCCGAUUGCGAAGGCAGCUUACUGGAGUGCAACUGACACUGAGGCUCGAAAGUGUGGGUAUCGAACAGGAUUAGAUACCCCUGUAGUC